CUGAUACUACAUUUGUUGUUGUUAUUUUUGCUCAUUUUACCGAAGAAACCAUCUACAAUCUCGUAUAAUUAAUAGCUGCGCUUUAUUUUAUCGACCUGCCUGAAAGCAAUUGUCGCCUGGAAAUCGCUUGGUUGCCACGCAAAAUGGAGCGCGAGAUGGGUUGAAUGAGGGGCAAAAGAGGGCAAGCAACUUGAACUGUAGCAAAAUAAA
This is a long non-coding RNA of Ceratitis capitata (Mediterranean fruit fly), 210 nucleotides long. RefSeq lists it as uncharacterized. The record is from RefSeq and is a predicted model, not a curated record. The transcript is spliced from 2 exons. Lineage: Eukaryota; Metazoa; Arthropoda; Insecta; Diptera; Tephritidae.